This 2166-nucleotide ribosomal RNA is filed under the name uncultured Paeniclostridium sp. RNAcentral's name for it is "partial contains 16S ribosomal RNA, 16S-23S ribosomal RNA intergenic spacer, and 23S ribosomal RNA". The stretch from base 1 to 1475 matches the Rfam family "Bacterial small subunit ribosomal RNA". Lineage: Bacteria; Bacillati; Bacillota; Clostridia; Peptostreptococcales; Peptostreptococcaceae. The record is from RNAcentral.
GAUGAACGCUGGCGGCGUGCCUAACACAUGCAAGUCGAGCGAACCCUUCGGGGUGAGCGGCGGACGGGUGAGUAACGCGUGGGUAACCUGCCCUGUACACACGGAUAACAUAUCGAAAGGUAUGCUAAUACGGGAUGACAUAUGAAAGUCGCAUGGCUUUUGUAUCAAAGCUCUGGCGGUACAGGAUGGACCCGCGUCUGAUUAGCUAGUUGGUAAGGUAACGGCUUACCAAGGCAACGAUCAGUAGCCGACCUGAGAGGGUGAUCGGCCACAUUGGAACUGAGACACGGUCCAAACUCCUACGGGAGGCAGCAGUGGGGAAUAUUGCACAAUGGGCGAAAGCCUGAUGCAGCAACGCCGCGUGAGCGAUGAAGGCCUUCGGGUCGUAAAGCUCUGUCCUCAAGGAAGAUAAUGACGGUACUUGAGGAGGAAGCCCCGGCUAACUACGUGCCAGCAGCCGCGGUAAUACGUAGGGGGCUAGCGUUAUCCGGAAUUACUGGGCGUAAAGGGUGCGUAGGUGGUUUUUUAAGUCAGAAGUGAAAGGCUACGGCUCAACCGUAGUAAGCUUUUGAAACUGAAGAACUUGAGUGCAGGAGAGGAGAGUAGAAUUCCUAGUGUAGCGGUGAAAUGCGUAGAUAUUAGGAGGAAUACCAGUAGCGAAGGCGGCUCUCUGGACUGUAACUGACACUGAGGCACGAAAGCGUGGGGAGCAAACAGGAUUAGAUACCCUGGUAGUCCACGCCGUAAACGAUGAGUACUAGGUGUCGGGGGUUACCCCCCUCGGUGCCGCAGCUAACGCAUUAAGUACUCCGCCUGGGAAGUACGCUCGCAAGAGUGAAACUCAAAGGAAUUGACGGGGACCCGCACAAGUAGCGGAGCAUGUGGUUUAAUUCGAAGCAACGCGAAGAACCUUACCUAAGCUUGACAUCCCACUGAUCUCUCCCUAAUCGGAGAUUUCCCUUCGGGGACAGUGGUGACAGGUGGUGCAUGGUUGUCGUCAGCUCGUGUCGUGAGAUGUUGGGUUAAGUCCCGCAACGAGCGCAACCCUUGCCUUUAGUUGCCAGCAUUAAGUUGGGCACUCUAGAGGGACUGCCGAGGAUAACUCGGAGGAAGGUGGGGAUGACGUCAAAUCAUCAUGCCCCUUAUGCUUAGGGCUACACACGUGCUACAAUGGGUGGUACAGAGGGUUGCCAAGCCGUGAGGUGGAGCUAAUCCCUUAAAGCCAUUCUCAGUUCGGAUUGUAGGCUGAAACUCGCCUACAUGAAGCUGGAGUUACUAGUAAUCGCAGAUCAGAAUGCUGCGGUGAAUGCGUUCCCGGGUCUUGUACACACCGCCCGUCACACCACGGGAGUUGGGGGCGCCCGAAGCCGGUUAGCUAACCUUUUAGGAAGCGGCCGUCGAAGGUGAAACCAAUGACUGGGGUGAAGUCGUAACAAGGUAGCCGUAUCGGAAGGUGCGGCUGGAUCACCUCCUUUCUAAGGAGUAAUUACCUACUGUUUAAUUUUGAGAGUUCAUCUCUCUGUUAGUACUUUAAGCAACGGGACAUGAACGUAUGUGAAUGGACGUUGGCGACGUACUGUUAGUACUUUGAAAACUGCAUAACAUUUAGUGAUGAUUAAAUAAACCAAUUAUAAGAGAAGACAACUCUUUAAAAAAUAACACUUUUAAUAACUGGUCAAGUUAUUAAGGGCGCAGGGCGGAUGCCUUGGCACUAAGAGCCGAUGAAGGACGCGAUAAGCUGCGAUAAGCUUCGGGGAGUUGCACGUAAACUUUGAUCCGAAGAUUUCCGAAUGAGGAAACUCACUUAGAGUAAUGUCUAAGUAUCAUUAAGUGAAUACAUAGCUUAAUGAGGGGAACCCGGGGAACUGAAACAUCUAAGUACCCGGAGGAAAAGAAAGAAAUUCGAUUCCGUAAGUAGCGGCGAGCGAACGCGGAAUAGCCCAAACCAGUGAAGUUUUCUUCGCUGGGGUUGCGGACAUAUCACAAACAAGAGGUCAUCGUAAACGAAGAGAGUUGGAAAGCUCCGCUAUAAAGUGUAAUAGCCACGUAGUUGAAACGAUAAUUCUUUAGAUAUGAUCCAGAGUACCACGGGACACGUGAAACCCUGUGGGAAGCAGGAGGGACCAUCCUCCAAGGCUAAAUACUACUUAGUGACCGAUAGCGCAU